UACGAAGGGUGCAAACGUUGCUCGGAAUUAUUGGGCGUAAAGCGCACGUAGGCGGCAUUGCAAGUCGGAUGUGAAAUCCCUCGGCUUAACCAAGGAAGUGCAUCCGAAACUGCAGUGCUUGAGUACUUAAGAGGAUCGCGGAAUUCCCGGUGUAGAGGUGAAAUUCGUAGAUAUCGGGAGGAACACCAGUGGCGAAGGCGGCGAGCUGGGAAGAUACUGACGCUGAGGUGCGAAAGCGUGGGGAGCAAACAGG
RNAcentral lists this ribosomal RNA (253 nucleotides) under uncultured bacterium. Its description in RNAcentral is "partial 16S ribosomal RNA". It matches the Rfam family "Bacterial small subunit ribosomal RNA", at positions 524 to 776 of the family's 1533-position model. The record is from RNAcentral.